This 253-nucleotide ribosomal RNA is filed under the name uncultured bacterium. Its description in RNAcentral is "partial 16S ribosomal RNA". It matches the Rfam family "Bacterial small subunit ribosomal RNA", at positions 524 to 776 of the family's 1533-position model. The record is from RNAcentral.
UACGUAGGGUGCAGGCGUUAAUCGGAAUUACUGGGCGUAAGGCGUGCGCAGGCGGUCUGCUAAGAGAGAUGUGAAAUCCCCGGGCUUAACCUGGGAACUGCGUUUCUAACUGGCAGGCUUGAGUGUGGCAGAGGGGGGUGGAAUUCCACGUGUAGCAGUGAAAUGCGUAGAGAUGUGGAGGAACACCGAUGGCGAAGGCAGCCCCCUGGGCUAACACUGACGCUCAUGCACGAAAGCGUGGGGAGCAAACAGG